This 465-nucleotide ribosomal RNA is filed under the name uncultured bacterium. RNAcentral describes it as "partial 16S ribosomal RNA". It matches the Rfam family "Bacterial small subunit ribosomal RNA", at positions 28 to 507 of the family's 1533-position model. The record is from RNAcentral.
GACGAACGCUGGCGGCGUGCUUAACACAUGCAAGUCGAACGGAAAGGCCCUGCUUGCGUGGUACUCGAGUGGCGAACGGGUGAGUAACACGUGGGUGAUCUGCCCUGCACUUCGGGAUAAGCCUUGUGAACUGGGUCUAAUACCGGAUAGGAGCCAUUUUUAGUGUGGUGGUUGGAAAGUUUUUUCGGUGUAGGAUGAGCUCGCGGCCUAUCAGCUUGUUGGUGGGGGAAUGGCCUACCAAGGCGGCGACGGGUAGCCGGCCUGGGAGGGUGGACGGCCACAUUGGGAAUGAGAUAAGGCCCAGAAUCCUACGGGAGGCAGCAGUGGGGAAUAUUGCACAAUGGGCGCAAGGCUGAUGCAGCGACGCCGCGUGGGGGAUGACGGGCUUCGGGUUGUAAAAUCCUUUCGCUAGGGACGAAGCUGUUUGUGACGGUACCUAGAUAAGAAGCACCGGCUAACUACGUG